AUGAACGCUGGCGGCGUGCCUAAUACCUGCAAGUCGAGCGAACAGAUGAGGAGCUUGCUCCUCUGACGUUAGCGGCGGACGGGUGAGUAACACGUGGAUAACCUACCUAUAAGACUGGGAUAACUUCGGGAAACCGGAGCUAAUACCGGACAAUAUAUUGAACCGCAUGGUUCAAUAGUGAAAGACGGUUUUGCUGUCACUUAUAGAUGGAUCCGCGCCGCAUUAGCUAGUUGGUAAGGUAACGGCUUACCAAGGCAACGAUGCGUAGCCGACCUGAGAGGGUGAUCGGCCACACUGGAACUGAGACACGGUCCAGACUCCUACGGGAGGCAGCAGUAGGGAAUCUUCCGCAAUGGGCGAAAGCCUGACGGAGCAACGCCGCGUGAGUGAUGAAGGUCUUCGGAUCGUAAAACUCUGUUAUUAGGGAAGAACAAAUGUGUAAGUAACUAUGCACGUCUUGACGGUACCUAAUCAGAAAGCCACGGCUAACUACGUG
This 496-nucleotide ribosomal RNA is filed under the name uncultured bacterium. RNAcentral describes it as "partial 16S ribosomal RNA". It matches the Rfam family "Bacterial small subunit ribosomal RNA", at positions 29 to 507 of the family's 1533-position model. The record is from RNAcentral.